UACGUAGGGGGCUAGCGUUGUCCGGAAUCAUUGGGCGUAAAGAGCGUGUAGGCGGUCCGGUAAGUCCGCUGUGAAAGUCGGGGGCUCAACCCUCGAAUGCCGGUGGAUACUGUCGGGCUAGAGUGCGGAAGAGGCGAGUGGAAUUCCUGGUGUAGCGGUGAAAUGCGUAGAUAUCGGGAGGAACACCUGUGGCGAAAGCGGCUCACUGGACCAUUACUGACGCUGAUGCACGAAAGCUAGGGGAGCAAACAGG
RNAcentral lists this ribosomal RNA (253 nucleotides) under uncultured bacterium. RNAcentral describes it as "partial 16S ribosomal RNA". It matches the Rfam family "Bacterial small subunit ribosomal RNA", at positions 524 to 776 of the family's 1533-position model. The record is from RNAcentral.